This 1249-nucleotide ribosomal RNA is filed under the name metagenome. Its description in RNAcentral is "bacterial SSU rRNA". It matches the Rfam family "Bacterial small subunit ribosomal RNA", at positions 8 to 1274 of the family's 1533-position model. The record is from RNAcentral.
AGAGUUUGAUCCCGGCUCAGAAUCAACGCUGGCGGCGCGCCUAACACAUGCAAGUCGAACGAGAAAAUGGAGCAAUCCAUGAGUAAAGUGGCGUACGGGUGAGUAACACGUGGAUAAUCUGCCCUUUAGUGGGGAAUACCGCUGGGAAACCGGCGACAAUACCGCAUAAGCUCGAGAGAGGAAAGCGGUUCUAUGAAAGUAGAGCCGCGCUGAAGGAGGAGUCCGCGGUCGAUUAGCUAGUUGGUGAGGUAAUGGCUCACCAAGGCUGUGAUCGAUAGCCGGCCUGAGAGGGCACACGGCCACACUGGCACUGAAACACGGGCCAGACUCCUACGGGAGGCAGCAGUGGGGAAUCUUGCACAAUGGGGGAAACCCUGAUGCAGCGACGCCGCGUGAGCGAUGAAGCCCUUCGGGGUGUAAAGCUCUUUCGGCAGGGAAGAUUAUGACGGUACCUGCAGAAGCAGCUGCGGCUAACUACGUGCCAGCAGCCGCGGUAAUACGUAGGCAGCAAGCGUUGUUCGGAGUUACUGGGCGUAAAGGGUGCGUAGGCGGCUCGAUAAGUAUGGUGUGAAAUCUCCCGGCUUAACUGGGAGGGUGCGCUAUAGACUGCCGGGCUGGAGGGUGGGAGAGGAAAGUGGAAUUCCUGGUGUAGCGGUGAAAUGCGUAGAUAUCAGGAGGAACACCGGUGGUGUAAACGGCUUUCUGGACCACUUCUGACGCUGAUGCACGAAAGCGUGGGUAGCAAACAGGAUUAGAUACCCUGGUAGUCCACGCCCUAAACGAUGCAUACUUGGUGUGGGUCAUUCAGUUGAUCUGUGCCGGAGCUAACGCGUUAAAUAUGCCGCCUGGGGAGUACAGUCGCAAGGCUGAAACUCAAAGGAUUUGACGGGGGCCCGCACAAGCGGUGGAGCAUGUGGUUUAGUUCGACGCAACGCGAAGAACCUUACCUGGGCUCGAAAUGCUAUGGACCAGCUGAUGAAAGUCGGCCUUCCCGCAAGGGACCGUAGUAUAGGUGCUGCAUGGCUGUCGUCAGCUCGUGUCGUGAGAUGUUGGGUUAAGUCCCGCAACGAGCGCAACCCUUGUCCUGUGUUGCCAUACUGUAAAAAGUGGAACUCGCAGGAGACCGCCAGGGAUAACCUGGAGGAAGGUGGGGAUGACGUCAAGUCCUCAUGGCCUUUAUGUCCAGGGCUACACACGUGCUACAAUGGACGGUACAAAGGGCUGCCAACCCGCGAGGGGGAGCCAAUCC